This is a long non-coding RNA of Acanthochromis polyacanthus (spiny chromis), 1219 nucleotides long. RefSeq lists it as uncharacterized. The transcript is spliced from 4 exons. The record is from RefSeq and is a predicted model, not a curated record. Lineage: Eukaryota; Metazoa; Chordata; Actinopteri; Pomacentridae.
ACUUUUAUCCCGUCACGCAUUUAGAGUCUAAAUCUCAAACACUUUAACUAAUGAAAACAUGUACCAACAGACACUCUUAAAAGACAGGAUGAUAAGAUCAGAUGAAUCUUCAUUGUCAUUGAAGUUGUCAAACUUUUGUACAAUAGUACAACAAAAUUUGAAUCUCGUUCACAUCGGUGCUAUAAAAGAAGAACGUGCAAUUGUCAAAAAAAACAUUAAAUACAAUUAUUAAAAUAUCGCACACCAGGUGGAGCCAGAGAAGAGCAGCACUUCAUCUUCAACAAUGCUGACAUCCACUUACAGCUCUAUACAGGCCAAACAAGACUCCAAAAUGGAACAAACUCUCACCUACACCCCAGCAACAUCAACAUGACCAAUAAAAUACAUCUGUUGCCCCAAAACAACCUUUAGUGACCUCCACAGUGACGUUUUCAGUCUGUCGUAAUCUCUACUUUACGUCUAUGGUGACAAAUAUUGAUUGAACUCAAAUAAACGUAGAGCCAUUCACCUCUCUUGUAUUUGUAAGAGCUGGAAAACAGGAAGUGUACAGUAGAAGAGGAUGUUCAUGAAACCUGUCAGAGGUUAACGGUUAAUAGCGUGCACUGUAUUAGCUGCACUUUUAUUAGCAUUGUGUUCAAACCUCAAUCAGAUAAGACCUGAAAGCAAAGUCCCUGAAAUAUCAGUAAUUAUACAGCUAUAGGAGACGCAGAUUAAUCAGUAAACGCCUUCAAAGUGUUCGAUUGGACUUUAUGGCCAAGACAGGGAGAUAUUUAGAGGAGAGCUUUUCUUUCUGAGCUGCUCACUGUUCAUCACUGCAGUCUGAGGCAAGAAGCUUACAGCUCAGGACUGAGUAGAGAAACAUAACGACCAGGAUGUUCAAACUAGUCCUGCUGCUCCUGACAGUGUCGGGCCUCCAAGCUGCUCCAAUCGAAGCCCCCAAAGGUCUGCAGAAGUCGAUCUACCAGCUCUCUGAUGGCUUUCGACAGGGUACCGAACCCUCCAGAAGGUUCCUGGUUAAUCUGGACACUGGCAUGGUGCAGGAACACAUCAGCGAGAUGGAAAGGAGAGCAGUCCCAGCUGAUGUUCCAGUCCAGAGGAACGGUGCUGGUUGGGUCCGUGUGCAAGAACCUUCAACUUCUCAUAUCCCAACCGGUUUCAGGCAGGGAACAGAACCUUCUCUUCACAUCCCAGAUGGUUUCAGGCAGGGAACAGAACCUUC